Molecule: unclassified non-coding RNA, 335 nt
Filed under: soil metagenome
Description: partial contains 5.8S ribosomal RNA, internal transcribed spacer 2, and large subunit ribosomal RNA
Rfam family: 5.8S ribosomal RNA (bases 1-120)
Source: RNAcentral
GAUGAAGAACGUAGUGAAAUGCGAUAACUAGUGUGAAUUGCAGAAUUCAGUGAAUCAUCGAAUCUUUGAACGCACAUUGCGCCCGCCAGUAUUCUGGCGGGCAUGCCUGUUCGAGCGUCAUUUCAACCAUCAAGCCCCCGGCUUGUGUUGGGGACCUGCGGCUGCCGCAGGCCCUGAAAACCAGUGGCGGGCUCGCUAGUCACUCCGAGCGUAGUAAUACAUCUCGCUCAGGGCGUGCUGCGGGUUCCGGCCGUUAAAAAGCCUUAUUUACCCAAGGUUGACCUCGGAUCAGGUAGGAAGACCCGCUGAACUUAAGCAUAUCAAUAAGCGGAGGA